Exaiptasia diaphana is the source of this 285-nucleotide long non-coding RNA. RefSeq lists it as uncharacterized. NCBI's taxonomy places the organism in Eukaryota, Metazoa, Cnidaria, Anthozoa, Actiniaria, Aiptasiidae. The transcript is spliced from 4 exons. The record is from RefSeq and is a predicted model, not a curated record.
AUGACUACAAGUUCGUUACAAAAGAGGAAUUAGAAAAAUUAGGGCUAACACAUCUGGUUGGCACAAACCUUUUACGAGCGUACAUGCAUGGGUAUUUCAUGGACAUCCGACUUUAUCAAAAGGCAAAGACGAUAGCAGAACCAUUUGCAUUUGAAGAAUAUCGAAAGAGGAAAAUUCAGGAGAAGAUAGAAGAAGAGCGUGAAAAUCGUGUCAGAAUUAAGAAAUUACCGCGAAUUAACAGAGCAUUGGCUGAAAAAUUAUUAGAAGAGAAGAAAGAGAAAAAGA